Molecule: ribosomal RNA, 274 nt
Filed under: uncultured bacterium
Lineage: Bacteria
Description: partial 16S ribosomal RNA
Rfam family: Bacterial small subunit ribosomal RNA
Source: RNAcentral
AUACGGAGGGGGCUAGCGUUGUUCGGAAUUACUGGGCGUAAAGCACGUGUAGGCGGAUCGUUAAGUCAGGGGUGAAAGCCCGGAGCUCAACUCCGGAAUUGCCCUUGAUACUGGCGAUCUAGAGGCCGGGAGAGGUGAGCGGAAUUCCCAGUGUAGAGGUGAAAUUCGUAGAUAUUGGGAGGAACACCAGUGGCGAAGGCGGCUCACUGGCCCGGUUCUGACGCUGAGACGCGAAAGCGUGGGGAGCAAACAGGAUUAGAAACCCUAGUAGUCC